Molecule: ribosomal RNA, 460 nt
Filed under: uncultured bacterium
Lineage: Bacteria
Description: partial 16S ribosomal RNA
Rfam family: Bacterial small subunit ribosomal RNA
Source: RNAcentral
CCUACGGGAGGCAGCAGUGAGGAAUAUUGGUCAAUGGACGCAAGUCUGAACCAGCCAAGCCGCGUGCAGGAAGACGGCUCUAUGAGUUGUAAACUGCUUUUGUACGAGGGUAAACGCAGAUACGCGUCUCUGUCUGAAAGUAUCGUACGAAUAAGGAUCGGCUAACUCCGUGCCAGCAGCCGCGGUAAUACGGAGGAUUCAAGCGUUAUCCGGAUUUAUUGGGUUUAAAGGGUGCGUAGGCGGUCGUAUAAGUUAGAGGUGAAAUCCCGAGGCUCAACCUCGGAAUUGCCUCUGAUACUGUGCGGCUAGAGAGUAGUUGCGGUAGGCGGAAUGUAUGGUGUAGCGGUGAAAUGCUUAGAGAUCAUACAGAACACCGAUUGCGAAGGCAGCUUACCAAGCUACUUCUGACGUUGAGGCACGAAAGCGUGGGGAGCAAACAGGAUUAGAUACCCGGGUAGUC